This 59-nucleotide small nuclear RNA is filed under the name Canis lupus dingo (dingo). The record is from RNAcentral. Lineage: Eukaryota; Metazoa; Chordata; Mammalia; Carnivora; Canidae.
GUGCUUGCUUUGGCAGCCCGUAUACUAAAAUUGGAAUGAUACAGAGAAGAUUAGCAUGG